RNAcentral lists this long non-coding RNA (2975 nucleotides) under Phocoena sinus (vaquita). Its description in RNAcentral is "lncRNA (ENSPSNG00000006471.1)". The record is from RNAcentral. Lineage: Eukaryota; Metazoa; Chordata; Mammalia; Artiodactyla; Phocoenidae.
UAAAUCUAGAUCUCCAUUUGGCACACUCCACAAAGCCUUCUAAACAAUUCAGUGUGUUCACAUGAUGAGAUUUCCAUUACUUAUGUAUGAAGAAAAUCUGCCGUUUUCCAUGCACUGAGCCGGAGGCAGGGAGGGGGCAGAAUUAUUCAGCCUUAGUAAUAUUAGACCACGGCUCUUCCAUUUAUUUGAAAAUGGUCGUGUCGUGCUGAGGAGAAUAAUAGUUCAGAUCCUUCUCCUUCCUCCAAACAUUAUGUCAAAACUACAUUGAUCAAAAUAAAUAAAAUCUUGUAUCAUUGUGUCAAGGCUGUAAGAAGAUAGAGUAAGCCAGCAUAAACAUUAAAAAUGAGCAUGUUGGAGAGUGCCUUGAACUGUGAAUUCUAUACAUUUUUACCUCUCCCAAGGUUCUUGUUUUCUUCUAUUCUACUUACCAAGUUACAUGGAAAUUUUACACUUCUAUUGAAAUAAGCAGCACCUUUUCCCCAUUUUUUUCAAAAGGUACUAUUUCAAUAAAAAUUUUUGCAUUUACAAAGAAAGGGAAUAACUGGGCUGCAAUUCAGGUUAGUUUGUGAGUGUACCCCAGGUACUGAUCUGAAUUCUCUUGUUUGGAGGGAGCAUGUAUUCCUUGAAGACAGGUUAAGAAUCUAGUCUUUCCUCAAUGCCAGGACCCCCUGUGAAGUCUUAUUUACCUCAGUUCUUAAGGACAAACUGUAGUACUGCUGAAAAAUAACAUAUUUGUUAUCACUUGAGGAAAAGCCAUUUGAUAUAAUGAGCUAAGCAUAUUCACCUUUCAAUUAAUAUCAGCAAUAGCUACAGUGAGAUUUGAGUUUGGUGAUCUUGGAUACUUUUCUAACAAUAUUCAGAGACCAACACCCCCCCCCCCCUUGGAGGCUAAUGAUUUAAACUUGAACAAUCCGUCCUAGAAUGACAUUCCUGUGAAGUGGGAAAGAAUUCCCCUAUCUUACAGGUUUCUAGUUUGGGCACCUGAAAGUUGGGUUCCUGUUGAAGCUCUUCUCAAUGUGUUUCCUUACUUAAUUGCUGUCUGAUUCAGGGAGAUAAGAGAGGAAGAAAGCAACAAAAAGAAAAUAUUUGUCUUUUUAUGUAUACUAUAUGUACGUGGUAUAGCACAGUAUUUGCACAAGAUCUGGAGUAGACCUGGGUUUAAAUUUAUAAUCUCAUUUAAUAAUUAUCAUCAUAGUUAUAACAACAAUAACAACAAAUUCUUACUGCAUGCAUAAAAUGGCGGGCCUCAAGUUAAAUGCUUUCCAUGAAUUACUAUAUUUAAUUCUCACAAAACCCUGUCAUGUGUAUUUUGUCACUAUCCUCUUACAAAUGAGAGAACUAAGGCUCAGCAAAGUUACAAAACUUGCCCCCAAAUCACACAACUUUUGGGGAUUCAAAUUAGUUCUGUUUGAUCCCUAUACCCAUCAUCUUAACUAGAACAUUCCACUCCAUUCAUGAAGAAAUUAGGAACAUCCAUGCACACAAGAUGUGCUAAUAGAGGGGCAGGUACUGGAACUGCAGAGGCAUCAGGGAACUAGAGGGAGAGCUCUGUGUGCCCUUUGACAAGUUAUUACCUUCUCUGUGCCUCAGUUUUGUUAUCUGUACAAUGGGGAUAGUAAUAAAUUCUUGAAAAGCAAUUAGAACAAUGCCUGCCUCAGAGUAAACUCCGUAAAUACUAGUUAUCGUUGGAAUUGAGACAUCCUGACCUCUGUUGUCCUAUACUGUUUACUCCUUAGAACAGAUAGAUAUUAUAUGAGUGUAUGAUUCAGAGAUGUAUCACAACUUCUUAUACAUCAGAACAGUUUGGAGAACCUGAGGUUAUAUUAAGAUAGCAAUUUUUUUCUCUGUCACUAUCCAUAUUCUAUUUUAAAUUAUCUUAAUUCUCUCUUUUCUGCUAACUCCACUUCUUGAUCCUUAGGCACGUAUUUUGAGUUCUUGUUAGUUGCUUCAAAUCCCUGCUGUGAUGUUUGCUGAUGGCUAAAAUGUUAGAUGAUAAGGAACGUUAUAUUUUAAUGGCAGAUAUUUGAGAAAUUAAAACGCUUCCUGAUCCUAGGAAGGAAACUUUCUGCUGAUCAAGGGGAUGUAGGGGGUAGAUAUUUAGGGAUAUAGGAAGGGACAAUCACAGCCAAAGAAUGAAGCACACUUACCUUGCGUUUGAAAGGUACAGAUAUCUUUUCACAAAUUUUUUUAUUGUUUCAGCAUCAAUUUAAAAGUUAAACUUUGAAAGAAAGAUGAAUUCUAUCUUAGAGAAGUUUGCAGUUAUUUUUAGCUCAGAAUGCUAUUUGGAUUUCCCACAUUUUUUAUGCUGGCACAGUUUAGAAAGUUUGUGCAGUGAUUUACUUCGGGGAGUAUACAGAUACAGCGUUCUUACAACAGAGCCUAUAGCUGUCUCUUCUAAAUAUGGAAUAUUUGGCUCCACAAUGCCCACUGCUUAUUCCUACCCUCCUCAUUUUAUCUGUUCUGUUGGUGAUAAUGUGGGUUCCCUGCCCUGUCGAUGUUUGUGGGGUUUUAUUAUGCAGUAUUCAAUUUGUACAAAAUAAUCUUUGUAACAUGUAUAGGUUAUAGAGCAUAUCAUUUUCGAGCUACAAUAUUGUCAAUACAUCGCAUCUUCUUUCUCCCAUGACCAUCUCUUUCUUUCCCACCAAGUAAUAACCAUCCUACAUUUUAUGAAUUUCAUAACCUUUCUACCUUUAAAUUCUUCAUAAAAGAUCACAUAUGUAUGUAUUCUUUAAAAUCUUGCUGGGACUUCCCUGGAGAUCCAGUGGUUAAGACUUCGCCCUCCGGGGCUUCCCUGGUGGUGCAGUGGUUGAGAGUCCGCCUGCCGAUGCAGGGGAUGCUGGUUCGUGCCCCGGUCUGGGAAGGUCCCACAUGUCGCGGAGCGGCUGGGCCCAUGAGCCAUGGCCGCUGAGCCUGCGCGUCCGGGGCCUGUGCUCCACAACGCGAGAGGCCACAACAGUGAGAGGCCCACGUACCAG